ACUUUAUUAAAUCCUUUAUUAAAAAUUAUGCCAGCUUUAGUGUACUAAUAAUCUUAAUUUUAUGUAAGGACAGGAGGCGAUCAUCUACUCAUACAGUAAGCUUUAGCUAAAUUCAUGGUAGUUUGUCAUCCUAGAUAGGGAUUUACAAUUAUCAGGUUUUUAAUGCAGUUGUCAGAAACAAUUGCUGUUAUGUAUUUGUAAGAAUUAUUGAGCCUUGGUAAGUUUUGUUGCCUUACACAUGUCACAAUUUUCUUUUAAUUUUGUGAUUACACUAAG
Non-coding RNA from Pelobates cultripes (western spadefoot toad), 276 nucleotides. The record is from the annotation of a GenBank genome assembly. NCBI's taxonomy places the organism in Eukaryota, Metazoa, Chordata, Amphibia, Anura, Pelobatidae.